AUAAAUUUAAACGAAGAAUAUAUAAUAUUUAAUCAAAGGACAGUAAUCGUACAAGAAAUUUUAAUAAACAUGAUGACAACAUCACUAUUUAGUAUAUGUGAAAAAGGUAAAUAUAGAUCUAUGGAUGGAAAGGGAUAAGAAUCUUUUUGAAUCUUAGAUAGAAGUUGAUUAACGGUAAAAUUUCUUUCGUGGACAUGAGGUAAAAUAAAUCUAGAAGUGAACGCCUUUCGAUUUAAAUUUGAAAAGAAAACAUCCCAAUAAGUUCCGGGAUAACUUCUUUGCCCCAACCACUAAAAUCCAAAUGAUCUCUUCUUAUUGAUAUAUUGUUAUAAAUUGGUAGACUUAACAAGAAAAAUAAAGGAAAAUAUUGAAAUACAUAUUUAAACUUAUAUAUUGUGUCUUUUUUUGUUAUCAUGGCCUUUCUUAUUAUAUGUGUGUAAGUUUCCUUUAUAGUAUAAUUAUAAGUAUAUACAUUUUUUUUCUUGUUUAUUGUUUCCGUUAAGCUUCUAUGGCAUACUGUGCAUAUUUCCUCUGUUUUUCAUAUUUCUCAUUUUUCUUUUUAGUUAGGGGUGUAAUAUAUAAAUAUAUAUAUUUUGAUAACUAUGCGACUACCAGUUUUGUUAGGUCUGUAGCACUCAUAAUUUCAACAAAAACACACAAAACUCUAUUUCUAACGAUAGAUAGAGUGCACCUUUAAAUUUCUUAAACUGAUUCCCAAUAAAUAUCAGAAAUAAAAAAGCUAUGUUACGACGUAUCUAUCCAAGAUACUCUCCGACACGAAAAAAAUGAAACUCAUAGUAACUCAAACCAAUUGGACCCAUAGCAGGG
Molecule: long non-coding RNA, 828 nt
Filed under: Mytilus galloprovincialis (Mediterranean mussel)
Lineage: Eukaryota; Metazoa; Mollusca; Bivalvia; Mytilida; Mytilidae
Source: RNAcentral